RNAcentral lists this ribosomal RNA (253 nucleotides) under uncultured bacterium. RNAcentral's name for it is "partial 16S ribosomal RNA". It matches the Rfam family "Bacterial small subunit ribosomal RNA", at positions 524 to 776 of the family's 1533-position model. The record is from RNAcentral.
UACGUAGGUGACAAGCGUUGUCCGGCUUUACUGGGCGUAAAGAGCGCGCAGGCGGUCGUUCAAGUCGAGUGUGAAAGCCCCCGGCUCAACUGGGGAGGGUCAUUCGAUACUGAUCGACUCGAAGGCAGGAGAGGGAAGUGGAAUUCCCGGUGUAGUGGUGAAAUGCGUAGAUAUCGGGAGGAACACCAGUGGCGAAGGCGACUUCCUGGCCUGUUCUUGACGCUGAGGCGCGAAAGCUAGGGGAGCAAACGGG